AUCCAGCUGACUAGUCCCAAAUAGGACAAAACGGGUGUCCUGAAU
Non-coding RNA from Schistosoma mattheei, 45 nucleotides. The record is from Rfam. Lineage: Eukaryota; Metazoa; Platyhelminthes; Trematoda; Strigeidida; Schistosomatidae.